GAAGGGAAACCGAGUCUUAACUGGGCGUUAAGUUGCAGGGUAUAGACCCGAAACCCGGUGAUCUAGCCAUGGGCAGGUUGAAGGUUGGGUAACACUAACUGGAGGACCGAACCGACUAAUGUUGAAAAAUUAGCGGAUGACUUGUGGCUGGGGGUGAAAGGCCAAUCAAACCGGGAGAUAGCUGGUUCUCCCCGAAAGCUAUUUAGGUAGCGCCUCGUGAAUUCAUCUCCGGGGGUAGAGCACUGUUUCGGCAAGGGGGUCAUCCCGACUUACCAACCCGAUGCAAACUGCGAAUACCGGAGAAUGUUAUCACGGGAGACACACGGCGGGUGCUAACGUCCGUCGUGAAGAGGGAAACAACCCAGACCGCCAGCUAAGGUCCCAAAGUCAUGGUUAAGUGGGAAACGAUGUGGGAAGGCCCAGACAGCCAGGAUGUUGGCUUAGAAGCAGCCAUCAUUUAAAGAAAGCGUAAUAGCUCACUGGUCGAGUCGGCCUGCGCGGAAGAUGUAACGGGGCUAAACCAUGCACCGAAGCUGCGGCAGCGACACUGUGUGUUGUUGGGUAGGGGAGCGU
Molecule: ribosomal RNA, 573 nt
Filed under: Escherichia coli
Lineage: Bacteria; Pseudomonadati; Pseudomonadota; Gammaproteobacteria; Enterobacterales; Enterobacteriaceae
Description: partial 23S ribosomal RNA
Rfam family: Bacterial large subunit ribosomal RNA
Source: RNAcentral